Molecule: long non-coding RNA, 5543 nt
Organism: Orcinus orca (killer whale)
Lineage: Eukaryota; Metazoa; Chordata; Mammalia; Artiodactyla; Delphinidae
Exons: 3
Source: RefSeq, a predicted model, not a curated record
UGGGCUUCCCUGGUGGCGCAGUGGUUGAGAGUCCGCCUGCCGAUGCAGGGGACACGGGUUCAUGACCCGGUCCGGGAAGAUCCCACAUGCCGCGGAGUGGCUGGGCCCGUGAGCCAUGGCCGCUGAGCCUGCACGUCCGGAGCCUGUGCUCCGCAAUGGGAGAGGCCACAGCAGUGAGAGGCCCGCGUACCGCAAAAAAAAAAAAAAAAAAAAAAAGAUAUAGAGGCAUGAAAAAAAUACAGUGACAGGGAAGCAACAGGUAUUUCAGUAUGACAGGAAUAAAAUUGGUGGGAUUCUAGUAGGAAAUAAAGUUGGAGAAAUAGAAAGGGGUCAUAUCAUCAAAGACCUUGUGUAUAAUACUAAUUUUUUUUUACUUUAUUCCGAAGUAACGAGGAGCAAUUGAAUACGUUUUUCUUUUUAAAUGAACUUUAUUAAGGUACAUUUAAAAUACAAUAAGACACACCCAUUUUAUUUUUUUCUUCCGUUUUAUUGAGAUACAAUUGACAUGCAGCACUGUAAAAAUUUGAGGUGUAUAGCAUAAUGAUUUGACUUACAUACAUCAGAAAAUGAUUAUCACAAUAAAUUUAGUGAACAUCCAUCAUCUCAUAUAGUUACUAAAGAAACAGAAAUAAAAAAGUUUUCCCUGUUACGAGAACCCUUAGGAUUUACCGUCUUCACAGUGUUCAUAUAUAACAUACAACAGUGUUCAUUAUAUUUAUCAUGUUGUACAUUACAUCCCUAGUACUUAUUUAUCUUAGAACUGGAAGUUUGUACCUUUUGACUGCCUUCAUCCAAUCCCCCCUCCCACCAUCCCCACCUCUGGUAACCACAAAUCUGAACUCUCUUUUUUAUUUUUAAUUUAAUUUAAUUAAUUAAUUUAUUUAUUUUUGGCCGCCUGGCUUACGGGAUCUCAGUUUUCUGACUAGAGAUUGAACCCUGGGCCAUGGCAGUGAAAGCCCAGAAUCCUAACCACUAGGCCACCAGGGAACUCCCUGAUGUCUUUUUCAAUGAGUUUGUUUGUUUGUUUGUUUCUGAAGCAUAAUUGACCUAUAACACUAUGUUACUUCCUUUUACGCAGCACAGUGAUUUGGCAUUUCUACACAUUUCAAAAUGAUCAGCACAAUAAGUCUAGUUACAGUAUGUCACCAUACAAAGAUAUUACAUGGUUAUUGACCAUAUUCCCCACACUGUACAUUUCAUACGCGUGACUCAUUUGUUGUGCACCUGGAAGUUUCUACCUCUUAAUCUCCCUCACCUAUUUCUUUCUUCCCCCAACCCCCUCCCUUCGGGCAACCAUCUGUUUGUAUUCUGUAUCUAUAACUCUGUUUUUGUUUUGUUAUGCUUGUUUAUUUGUUUUUUAGAUUCCACAGAUAAGUGAAACCAUACAGUAUUUGUCUUUCUCUGUCUGACUUAUUUUACCUAGCAUAAUACCUUCUAGGUUCAUUCAUGUCACAAAUGGCAAGGUUUCAUUCUUUUUAUAUAAUAUUUCAUUAUAUAUCUUUAUCCAUUCAUCUAUUGAUGGGCAUUUGGCCUAGUGUGUGAUCUAUCCUGGAGAAUGUUCCAUGUAUAUUUGAAAAGAAUGUGUAUUCUGUUACUUUAGGAUAGAACGUUCUAUUAAUAUUAAGCCAUUUUGUUUUAAUGUGUCAUUUAAGUCCUGUGUUUCUUUGUUGCUUUUCUGUCUGGAUGACCUAUCCAUUGAUGUAAGUGGGGUGUUAAAGACCCCUACUAUUAUCGUAUUACUGUCAGUUUCUCCCUUUAUGUCUGUUCAUAUUUGUUUUAUGUAUUUAGGUGAUCCUAUGUUGGGUGCUUGUAUGUUUACAAUUGUUAUACCUUCUUUCUGGAUUGAUCCUUUAAUCAUUAUGUAAUGUCUUUGUCUCUCUUUACAGUCUUUGUUUUAAAGUCUAUUUUGUCUGACAUAAGUAUUGCUAACCUGGUUUUCUUUUAAUUUCUAUUUGCAUGGAAUACCUUUUUCCAUCCUCUUACUUUCAGGCUGUGUGUCUUUAGAUCUGAAGUGAGUGUCUCGUUGGCAGCAUGUAUAUGGGUCUCGCUUUUGUAUCCAUUCAGCCACUCUGUGUCUUUUGAUUGGAGCAUAUAGGCCAUUUACAUUUAAAGGAAUUAUUGAUAGGUAUGCACUUAUUGCCAUUUUGUUAAUUGUUUUGGGGAUGAUUUUCUUCUUUUGUUCUCUUCCCUUGUGAUUUGAAGACUACCUUUAGUGUUAUGUUUGGAUUCCUUUCUUUAUUCUGUGUGUAUAUCUACUACAGAUUUUUGCUUUGUGGUUACUGUAAGGUUUAUGUAUAGCCAUAUAUAUGAUUAUUUUAAGUUGCUGAUCUCUUAAGUUCAAAUAUCUUUUGAUAAUCCUGCAUUUUUAUACCCCUGCUCCCACUCCACAUUUACGGUUUCUGACAUAUUUUCCAUCUUUUUGUUUUGUGUAUCCCUUAACUACUUACUGUGGAUGUAGAUGAUUUCACUACUUUUGUCUUUUAACCUUCCUACUAGCUUUAAACAUGGUUGAUUCACUACUUAACUGUAUAUUUGCCUUUACCAUUGAGCUUUUUCCUUUUGUAAUUUUCAUGUUUCUAUUUGUGGCCUUUUCUUUUCGCUUAGAGAAGUCCCUUUAACAUUUCUUGUAAAGUGGUGGUGCUGAACUCUUUUAUCUUUUGCUUGUCUGUAAAACUUUUGGUCGCUCCAUCAGAUCUGAAUGAAAGCCUUGCUGAGUAGAGCAUCCUUGGUUGCAGGUUUUUCCCUUUCUAAAAUACACCCAUUUUAAGUGUGUAGUUUGGUGAGUUUUGACAGACAUAUAUACCUGUGUAACUACUGCCCCAAUAAAGAUAAUAGUACAUUUUUCCAUCCACCCCAAAAGCUUCCUGUGCUCCUCUGCAGUGCCCUCCUCCAUUCCCAGCUCGAGGUAGCCACUUAUCUGUUUUCAGUCAUAAUAGAUUAAUUCUGCCUAUGCUAAAAUUUCAUAUUGAUAGAAUCAUACAGUAUGCUCUCUUUUAUCUCAGUAUGUCUUUGAAAUUCAUCCAUGUUCUUGGGUGUAUCAAAAGUUCCUUCCUUUUUAUUGCUAGGUAGUAUUCCAUUGUAUGAGUAUAUCACAGUUUGUUUAUCCAUUCAUCUGUUGACAGGUAUUUGGGUUUCCGGUUUUGAACUAUUGUAAGGUUGCUAUAAUCAUUCAUGUACAAAUCUUUUUGUAGACAUGAGUUUCUAGUUCUCUUGGGUAAAUAACCAUACAAAUAUAUGAUAAGCACAUGAAAAGAUGUUUAGCGUCAUUAAUCAUAAAGAAAUGUAAAUUAAAACCACAACAGGAUACUAGUAAAUACCUGUUAGCUUGCCUAAAAUUAAAAGACUGACCAUAACAAGUGCUGACGAAGAUGUGGAGGAACUGGACCUCUCAGACACUGCUGACGUGAAAAUAAAAUGGUCCAUCCACUUUGGAAAAUGGUCUGGCCGUUUCUUAUAUACAUGAACAUUAACUAAGCAGUCCCACCCCUGAGUUUUUAACCAUUGAAUCAUUUUAAGCAGGGUAGCAAUAUGAAGAGAUUUUAUGUUUAAAGGAAUACUCUAAUGGCAUUAAGGAUAAUAGAUUCUGUAUGUUUAAAUAGUCUUCACAAACAUUAAUUUUUAUUGAUGAAAAAUCGUCUGUCAUGUUUUAAUACUAUACGUGGGUAAUCAUUUCCUUAGUGUGAAUAGUUAGGUAACAUUAAAUAUUUCAUUACUGACUAUAAUUCCUAAUAAACGUAAGUGUUGUUUCUGCUGAAUUCAUUCCUUAAAAUGAGCUCCUAGGAUCAGAAUCACUGAGUCAAUAUUCUUAAAAAUCUUUAUGCUUUUUGCUGCUAAGUGACAUUCUGACUGACUAAGGAUUAUACCAGUCAACAACAGGUUAUAUAUUACUAGUUAUUUUUCAUAGAUCAGGAAAGAGAAGCUCAGAUAGAUUAUGUGAAUUAGCUAACAUAGGUGGAAAAAGGUACACCAGUAUUUUGAGCCUGUGUCCUUGAUCCCUCCCUAGUCUUGGGUUUCCUUAUUUUUCUGUUCACACUUGUGCUAACUCAGAACUUUAUCUGGAGAACCCCUGUUCUGUGCCGUAGACGCCUCUAGCGUUAGGAGUACAAUGAAAACGCAUAGUUCCUGUUUCCACAGAGCUUGUGGGUUAGUGACAUUUCCAGAUUCCUUCCUCUCUAUCUGGAGAAAAUCUCGAGCUAACAGACUGAACGACAAAAGGAGAAAGAGAAAAAGUGUUCAAGUCAUAUGAUGGGUCACAGCUCAGGUACUCAUUUUUGACCCAGCUUCCAGGACCAUGUCAAGAGACACGAGGGAAUUGCAUCUUCUGUUGUGCCAUUACUUGGUUGGGCCAGUCACGUGGGUGGAGGUCUGGAAUGAAGAAACCCACCUCAGUGGGGAUUAACUACAGAUAUUCAGCGUGAGUUUAAGAAGGAGAGAGUAUACAGAAGCACUCAGUGGGGGGAAUGACAGGUUGCAGCAAUAAUGGGGGAGUCUGACAGAGGCAUCUGAAUUGAGUGCAUUUUAUUGUGAAUGACUCACAUUUCUUGAGUUCUUUCUGCGUGGUUGGCAUUGUUCUAGGUACUGGAAGAAAGUAGAAGUGAAAAGCUCUGGGGGCUGGAGAUCAAGACGUUCCAGGAAACGUCUGGCACAAAGCAAUGCAGGUGAGGUAGGAGGCGGAGUGCAGAGGUGGUGGUGUUUCAUUUACGUGUGCUCCAGCUCCCUCCCUCCCUCCUUCUGGGGGCCCCUUUUCUAUGUCCUCUCCCAACAUGCACCCCCUGGGCCUCCAGACACCAAGCGAGCACUGCUGUGUUAUCCCAGCCCUUUGCAGAGGCACCUUGCCCAGGCCUGCACACCUACUUUGGGAUCGAACCACAGAUGCCUACAGAUAUCAGCCAGGUCAACCUAGUGAGUAAAGAAAGAUGUCGUGGGGAGCCAGUGGUAGGGGCUGCAGAGAACUGGACAGCUUCUUGUCCAUCUCAACAGGGCAGCUACUGCUUCAGGUGACUGAAGCCAGUCAUACUAAUGAAACAGGGCAUCGCAAGAUGGCCCAAGGUUCCAGGAGUAUGGGAAAACCAGUUUUCAUCUGAAAUUUUAUUAUGUUUAAAUAUUGGAAAUCCAGUUAAUUUAACCUUUUGUGUUACAGUUUACAUUGGCCAAAAUAGACUGGAUUCCACUGGGAGCCUCUCGUCUGCGCUUCUGUCCUAGAAUGCAACAAAAUAACGCCAGAAAACUGUGGACCACAUAGAACACAAGUGUCAAUCACAGGCCAUUCUGCUUGGAGUUCUGGAGGCUAGAAGUCUGAAAUUAGGGCAAGGUUGGUUCCUCCUGGAGGGUCUGAGGGAGAAUCUCUUCUGUGCCGCUCUCCUGACUUCUGGUGGCUCCUGGCAAUCCUUGGUGUUCCUUGACUUGUAGCUGCAUCACUUCGAUCUCUGUCUACACCUUCACAAGACCUUUUUAUCUCUGUGUGUCUGAUCAAAGAUGCCUGUAUGAAACAUUGGAAUCCUUCAUACACAGCAAAAGCCUAAAUAAAAUGUAUUUUUGUACCA